GAUACGCAACAGACUAAGGAAGAGAGGCAGCCAGCUACUACCUGCGAUGACCCUGUCAAACGUUAGAUCGCCACGGAAUAAGACUGAGGAACUUUCCACGCUCGUCAGAACAGAGUGCCAACAACAAACCUACCAGCUGAGUCCCCGGUGCUGAUCCAGUCCGGGUUGGCGAUGCUGGCGAUAGCGAAGACGUCUGCAGCGAGGAAGAGACAUCCUGAUAUCACGACCCAAAACCACACUGUCUGGACUCAGCCAACCCCGGCUCAGCCAUCCUCAUCACUGCCCAACAUACAUGGACGUCCUGGUAGGAGUGGGCAGCCCCUGGAGAGAGCUUGAGGCCAGCCAGGGGCUGGGCAAGGGACUGGCCUGUUCUGGCAGCCGCAUAGAAUCGUCUCUGUGAAGAAGAAAGACAUGUCAG
This is a long non-coding RNA of Micropterus salmoides (largemouth bass), 418 nucleotides long. RefSeq lists it as uncharacterized. The transcript is spliced from 3 exons. The record is from RefSeq and is a predicted model, not a curated record. Lineage: Eukaryota; Metazoa; Chordata; Actinopteri; Centrarchiformes; Centrarchidae.